Molecule: ribosomal RNA, 200 nt
Filed under: uncultured bacterium
Lineage: Bacteria
Description: partial 16S ribosomal RNA
Rfam family: Bacterial small subunit ribosomal RNA
Source: RNAcentral
UACGAAGGGUCCAAGCGUUGUUCGGAUUUAUUGGGCGUAAAGCGCGCGCAGGCGGAUCAGUAAGUCAGGUGUGAAAUCUCGAAGCUCAACUUCGAAACUGCGCCUGAAACUACUAGUCUAGAAUAUCAGAGGGGGUAGGGGAAUUUCACGUGUAGGGGUAAAAUCCGUAGAGAUGUGAAGGAACACCGGAGGCGAAGGCG